AGCUUUCUGAAUCCGUGUAGAGAUUUCGUCGGAUGCCAACCCAUUAAGGAUGAUCAGAUUUCCAAGAUGAGUGAAGUU
This is a non-coding RNA of Schistosoma mansoni, 78 nucleotides long. NCBI's taxonomy places the organism in Eukaryota, Metazoa, Platyhelminthes, Trematoda, Strigeidida, Schistosomatidae. The record is from Rfam.